UUAAAUAUAAAGAAAAGGAAUAGUAGAAAUCCUUCUUUUAUAGAGAGUGCAUGGAUGGUGGAAAUGCAUAAAGAACAUUAUCGAACUCACCUUGGAUGUAGCUUUACUGAAAUGAACAGUAAGUAAAGUCGUAACGCCUGCGUUAAAGGUAAGAAGAGUCUAUACGAUAAUGUGUAGAAAAUUUAGGUGGUACCACGAUUAUCGACUGAUCCAAUCGUCCUAUGA
Molecule: non-coding RNA, 225 nt
Filed under: Carnobacterium iners
Lineage: Bacteria; Bacillati; Bacillota; Bacilli; Lactobacillales; Carnobacteriaceae
Description: T-box sequence
Rfam family: T-box leader
About the family: Uncharged tRNA acts as the effector for transcription antitermination of genes in the T-box leader family. T-boxes are found upstream of many aminoacyl-tRNA synthetase genes and some amino acid biosynthetic genes usually in Gram-positive bacteria.
Source: RNAcentral